AAGUCGUAACAAGGUAACCGUAGGUGAACCUGCGGUUGGAUCAUUAAAAAUAACAUGUUGCCACUCAUUGUCGGGGAAAACAGCAAAAAGGCACCCGGUAAAACAAUGGGAAUUGGCCCCACAUCUUGUGAACUGUACCGUCUUUGGUGGUGGGGUGGGCAUUGCUGUAUGCUUUGUCUCAUCUGUCAGCUUGGAUCGCAAGGUCCAGGCCGUGGACAAGCCACCACAUGUAUUCAAACAUCCUUUUUUUCUUUUGUCUGACAUUUCAACUUGUAUUAAUAUACAAACAACUUUUGGCAACGGAUCUCUUGGUUCUC
RNAcentral lists this unclassified non-coding RNA (317 nucleotides) under Spizellomyces dolichospermus. Its description in RNAcentral is "partial internal transcribed spacer region". The stretch from base 1 to 46 matches the Rfam family "Eukaryotic small subunit ribosomal RNA", at positions 1786 to 1831 of the family's 1831-position model. The record is from RNAcentral. Lineage: Eukaryota; Fungi; Chytridiomycota; Chytridiomycetes; Spizellomycetales; Spizellomycetaceae.